GAUGAACGCUGGCGGCGUGCUUAACACAUGCAAGUCGAACGGAAAGGCUCCUGCUUGCAGGGGUACUCGGGUGGCGAACGGGUGAGUAACACGUGGGUGAUCUGCCCAGCACUUCGGGAUAAGCCUGGGAAACUGGGUCUAAUACCGGAUAGGACGAUGGUUUGGAUGCCAUUGUGGAAAGUUUUUUCGGUGUGGGAUGAGCUCGCGGCCUAUCAGCUUGUUGGUGGGGUAAUGGCCUACCAAGGCGUCGACGGGUAGCCGGCCUGAGAGGGUGUACGGCCACAUUGGGACUGAGAUACGGCCCAGACUCCUACGGGAGGCAGCAGUGGGGAAUAUUGCACAAUGGGCGCAAGCCUGAGGCAGCGACGCCGCGUGGGGGAUGACGGCCUUCGGGUUGUAAACUCCUUUCGCUAGGGACGAAGCGCAAGUGACGGUACCUGGAGAAGAAGCACCGGCUAACUACGU
RNAcentral lists this ribosomal RNA (465 nucleotides) under uncultured bacterium. RNAcentral's name for it is "partial 16S ribosomal RNA". It matches the Rfam family "Bacterial small subunit ribosomal RNA", at positions 28 to 506 of the family's 1533-position model. The record is from RNAcentral.